AGAGUUUGAUCCUGGCUCAGAACGAACGCUGGCGGCAUGCCUAACACAUGCAAGUCGAACGAUCACUUCGGUGAUAGUGGCGCACGGGUGCGUAACGCGUGGGAAUCUGCCUUGGGGUACGGAAUAACAGUUAGAAAUGACUGCUAAUACCGUAUGAUGUCUUCGGACCAAAGAUUUAUCGCCCUGAGAUGAGCCCGCGUAGGAUUAGCUAGUUGGUGGGGUAAAGGCCUGCCAAGGCGACGAUCCUUAGCUGGUCUGAGAGGAUGAUCAGCCACACUGGGACUGAGACACGGCCCAGACUCCUACGGGAGGCAGCAGUGGGGAAUAUUGGACAAUGGGCGAAAGCCUGAUCCAGCAAUGCCGCGUGAGUGAUGAAGGCCUUAGGGUUGUAAAGCCCUUUUACCCGGGAAGAUAAUGACUGUACCGGGAGAAUAAGCCCCGGCUAACUCCGUG
RNAcentral lists this ribosomal RNA (453 nucleotides) under uncultured Sphingomonas sp. Its description in RNAcentral is "bacterial SSU rRNA". It matches the Rfam family "Bacterial small subunit ribosomal RNA", at positions 8 to 507 of the family's 1533-position model. The record is from RNAcentral. Lineage: Bacteria; Pseudomonadati; Pseudomonadota; Alphaproteobacteria; Sphingomonadales; Sphingomonadaceae.